GUGAAUCAUCGAAUCUUUGAACGCACAUUGCACUCUCUGGUAUUCCGGAGAGUAUGCCUGUUUGAGGGUCAGUUUAAAUAAAAAUCGGUGUGGUUGCUGACCUUCGUGGUGACGCACCGGCUUUGGGUCGUCUUUUCUUCGGUUAAGUGACCAACAAUUUUGCAUGAUUUUUUUCGAACGUAUUUACAUGAUUUUACGUACGUUUCCGAUAUC
Molecule: unclassified non-coding RNA, 213 nt
Filed under: Glomus sp.
Lineage: Eukaryota; Fungi; Glomeromycota; Glomeromycetes; Glomerales; Glomeraceae
Description: partial contains 5.8S ribosomal RNA and internal transcribed spacer 2
Rfam family: 5.8S ribosomal RNA (bases 1-71)
Source: RNAcentral